This is a long non-coding RNA of Monopterus albus (swamp eel), 934 nucleotides long. RefSeq lists it as uncharacterized. The record is from RefSeq and is a predicted model, not a curated record. NCBI's taxonomy places the organism in Eukaryota, Metazoa, Chordata, Actinopteri, Synbranchiformes, Synbranchidae. The transcript is spliced from 2 exons.
AAUCAGUUGUUUAAUUACAUAUCUAGAAAACCUUUUUUCUUCCUAGCACUUGUACGACAAAUCAAGAGAUUAUGAUGAUGAGGUACUAAAUGAAAAUCAUUUUCACAACUGUCCAGACAUUGAAAUCUGUAGCUGAAGAAGAGAUUAACCGAAUCUGCUGCCAUCAGCUGAAUGCCACUCUAUUGACAACCAGGGUGAGCAGCUCAGAAACAGUCCUGACUUCAAAAAGCAACUGAAAAACACUGGCUGUUAAAGGUGGGGGAGACAUUAAAGAGUAUAUAAAGAGAGUCAUGGGUGCAACGUUAACACAUUCUCUGGCCAAGAAUAUCAACAUGUGAAGUAUAAAUGGGCAGACUGCCUUACAGCACAUGUAGAUAAAAGAUGUUGUGAUUGAUAAGUUUGACUUACAGACUCAUUCACAGAUUCACUUUGACUAUACAUCUUAUAAAAAGCUAUAAAAGCUGGCUUUACACUAUAGGUCUUGAUGUCCAAUUCUGAAUUUUUCCCUAAAUCCUAUUUUUGAAAAAUUGCAUAUGUGUGUUAUAGCUGCUGUGUGACUUAAUCAUCUGAGAUCUGAUGCCACGGACCAAGAAAUUCCAAAUCGACUUCAACAUACACCAGAUAGGAAUGGUGGGCGAAGCAAACAUGGGAAUAACGGAGCAGCAAUACAUUUAUGAAUGUUUAUGAAAGGAUAUGCUAAACUGUUCACUGAAGUUUCUGCUGUUUGAAGAAAAGAUAGUAUUCCAUUGCCUUUUUGCAGUCUUAAAUUUAAUGCAAUGUUUUAGUAUCCCCCCCCCACAAAUUUCAGAGUUUGGGUUGUAUGCUGUUCUGUCUUUGACCAAUGCUUACACUUGCAAAAUUUACCUGAGUGACAUAGUGCAAGACUGCAGAGUGUAGGAUGAAAAAAUCAGAAUACACAGACAUGAAUCUGGAA